AUAACUGCACACUGAACUGACUUACCUGGGAGCCAGGCUGGGAUUUUUUCUUCCUCCACCAGCUGGUCAUAGGGAACACCUUCCUCCCAGGCUAUAGGUAUGAGCCAAGGAGGAAGCAUCAGAGCUGGGGGGCAACAUGGGGGCUGUGCCACCGGUUCAUGAACUCCCUCACACUAUGGACGACCCGUCCCUGACCCUGGACCUACCGUUCCCAUUUCAUGAAGGCUGGCUGUUGGGUCUGCAUCCUUGACUUCGUGGGUCCGACUCCACCCAGCUCUUGAUGGCAGUACCCGCCAUGUGGUCCGUUGAUUUCCUUUGAUCAUCACUCAGCCUGUACAAAAGCCCGGUCUUGUAGACCAGGAUCUGCCUUUUGAGUGGCAUAGAACCCUCUGCGGGGCUGGCAUGCCUUGCUCCAGAACCCCGGGGCUCACGAUAAUUAUGGUUCUUUCCCAGCAUGGAUUCCACCAGCACCACGGGGCCCGCUGGCACACAUGCCUAAGAGGCAGGGCUGUUCAUGAAUGGCCUGGAGCUGCUGCCCAGCCCUUUCCUACUCUGGGCACAUACAAAGCGAGUAGCCUCACCUGUUCCCUGAGAAGUGGGUCCGAGAAGUGUUCCUACAUGAAGAAUAUGCUGCUUCUAGGACCUGAAGAGGCCCACCAAGCAUUGUGCAUCUCGCUGAUAGAGACAGCGUGACUUUUACUUUGGAGGGUGCGAUGGUUCAUUUUACCUGUUCACCUGAGAGGCCACGCCACCCAGAUAUUUGGCCAAACAUGAUUCAAGAUGUUUCUGUGGAGGUAUUUCUUAGAUCAGAUUAAUGUCUAAAUCAGAACACUUUGAGGGAAGCGAAGGCAUAAAGUUGGUGGGCCUCCUCUAAUCGGUUGAAGACUUAGUAGGAAAAAGACUGAGCUCCCUGAGGAAAAGGGAAUUCUGCCAGCAGGCGGUACAGGAGCUUCAGCUCUUUCCCGGGUCUCCAGCCUGCUGGCCUAUCCUGCAGAUUUGGGACUUGUUGACUUCCAUAAUCAUGUAAGCCAAUUCCUUAAAAUAAAU
RNAcentral lists this long non-coding RNA (1047 nucleotides) under Homo sapiens (human). RNAcentral describes it as "HSALNT0156180". Lineage: Eukaryota; Metazoa; Chordata; Mammalia; Primates; Hominidae. The record is from RNAcentral.